Molecule: ribosomal RNA, 903 nt
Filed under: Septoria anthurii
Lineage: Eukaryota; Fungi; Ascomycota; Dothideomycetes; Mycosphaerellales; Mycosphaerellaceae
Description: LSU rRNA
Rfam family: Eukaryotic large subunit ribosomal RNA
Source: RNAcentral
UUAAGCAUAUCAAUAAGCGGAGGAAAAGAAACCAACAGGGAUUGCCCUAGUAACGGCGAGUGAAGCGGCAACAGCUCAAAUUUGAAAUCUGGCGCAAGCCCGAGUUGUAAUUUGUAGAGGAUGCUUCUGGGUAGCGACCGAUCUAAGUUCCUUGGAACAGGACGUCAUAGAGGGUGAGAAUCCCGUAUGUGACCGGCCCGCACCCUUUACGUAGCUCCUUCGACGAGUCGAGUUGUUUGGGAAUGCAGCUCUAAAUGGGAGGUAAAUUUCUUCUAAAGCUAAAUACCGGCCAGAGACCGAUAGCGCACAAGUAGAGUGAUCGAAAGAUGAAAAGUACUUUGGAAAGAGAGUUAAAAAGCACGUGAAAUUGUUGAAAGGGAAGCGCCUGCAACCAGACUUCGUGGCAGUGUUCCGCCGGUCUUCUGACCGGUUUAUUCUCUGUCGCGAGGCCAUCAUCGUCUAGGCCCGCCGGAUAAGACCUUAGGAAUGUAGCUCACCUUCGGGGGAGUGUUAUAGCCUAUGGUGAUGCGGCGAGGCUUGGGCGAGGUCCGCGCUUCGGCAAGGAUGAUGGCGUAAUGGUUGUCGGCGGCCCGUCUUGAAACACGGACCAAGGAGUCUAACAUCUAUGCGAGUGUUCGGGUGUCAAACCCCUACGCGUAAUGAAAGUGAACGGAGGUGGGAACCGCAAGGUGCACCAUCGACCGAUCCUGAUGUCCUCGGAUGGAUUUGAGUAAGAGCAUAGCUGUUGGGACCCGAAAGAUGGUGAACUAUGCCUGAAUAGGGUGAAGCCAGAGGAAACUCUGGUGGAGGCUCGCAGCGGUUCUGACGUGCAAAUCGAUCGUCAAAUUUGGGUAUAGGGGCGAAAGACUAAUCGAACCAUCUAGUAGCUGGUUCCUGCCGAAG